AAUUCGAUGCAACGCGAAGAACCUUACCAGGGUAUGAUAUGUGAGCUUCGACCUUCGGGGAGAGGUUAAUCCUGUGAAAGCAGGAUGAAUCACACAGGUGUUGCAUGGCUGUCGUCAGCUCGUGUCGUGAGAUGUUGGGUUAAGUCCCGCAACGAGCGCAACCCUUGCUGUUAGUUACCAUCGGGUAAUGCCGGGGACUCUAGCAGGACUGCCGGUGAUAAACCGGAGGAAGGUGGGGAUGAUGUCAAGUCAUUAUGACCCUUUACACCCUGGGCUAACCACGUGCUACAAUGGUCGGUACAAAGGGGAGCAAUACCGCGAGGUGGAGCAAAUCCCAAAAAGCCGGCCUCAGUACGGAUUGCAGUCUGCAACUCGACUGCAUGAAGCUGGAAUCGCUAGUAAUCGUGGAUCAGCAUGCCACGGUGAAUACGUUCCCGGGCCUUGUACACACCGCCCGUCAAGCCAUGGAAGUUGGUAGCACUCGAAGUCGUCGACCCAACCUCGUGAGGGAGACGCCGAAAGUGAGACUGGUAACUAGGGCUAAGUCGUAACAAGGUA
Molecule: ribosomal RNA, 558 nt
Filed under: uncultured bacterium
Lineage: Bacteria
Description: bacterial SSU rRNA
Rfam family: Bacterial small subunit ribosomal RNA
Source: RNAcentral